UCCUUCAUGGCUCAGACAGUAGAGAAUCUGCCUGCAGUGCAGGACGUCCAGGUUCAAUCCCUGGGUCAGGAA
This 72-nucleotide transfer RNA is filed under the name Ovis aries (sheep). It matches the Rfam family "tRNA". Rfam says of the family: Transfer RNA (tRNA) molecules are approximately 80 nucleotides in length. Their secondary structure includes four short double-helical elements and three loops (D, anti-codon, and T loops). The record is from Rfam by way of RNAcentral. Lineage: Eukaryota; Metazoa; Chordata; Mammalia; Artiodactyla; Bovidae.